ACCGGCGCACGGGUGGCGUAACGCGUAUGCAAUCUACCUUUCACAGAGGGAUAGCCCAGAGAAAUUUGGAUUAAUACCUCAUAGUAUUAUUGAGUGGCAUCACUUAAUAAUUAAAGUCACAACGGUGAAAGAUNNNNNNGCGUCCCAUUAGCUAGUUGGUAAGGUAACGGCUUACCAAGGCAACGAUGGGUAGGGGUCCUGAGAGGGAGAUCCCCCACACUGGUACUGAGACACGGACCAGACUCCUACGGGAGGCAGCAGUGAGGAAUAUUGGACAAUGGGCGCAAGCCUGAUCCAGCCAUGCCGCGUGCAGGAUGACGGUCCUAUGGAUUGUAAACUGCUUUUGUACGAGAAGAAACACUGCUUCGUGAAGCAGCUUGACGGUAUCGUAAGAAUAAGGAUCGGCUAACUCCGUGCCAGCAGCCGCGGUAAUACGGAGGAUCCAAGCGUUAUCCGGAAUCAUUGGGUUUAAAGGGUCCGUAGGCGGUUUAGUAAGUCAGUGGUGAAAGCCCAUCGCUCAACGGUGGAACGGCCAUUGAUACUGCUGAACUUGAAUUAUUAGGAAGUAACUAGAAUAUGUAGUGUAGCGGUGAAAUGCUUAGAGAUUACAUGGAAUACCAAUUGCGAAGGCAGGUUACUACUAAUUGAUUGACGCUGAUGGACGAAAGCGUGGGGAGCGAACAGGAUUAGAUACCCUGGUAGUCCACGCCGUAAACGAUGGAUACUAGCUGUUGGGAGCAAUCUCAGUGGCUAAGCGAAAGUGAUAAGUAUCCCACCUGGGGAGUACGUUCGCAAGAAUGAAACUCAAAGGAAUUGACGGGGGCCCGCACAAG
RNAcentral lists this ribosomal RNA (833 nucleotides) under uncultured bacterium. RNAcentral's name for it is "bacterial SSU rRNA". It matches the Rfam family "Bacterial small subunit ribosomal RNA", at positions 94 to 929 of the family's 1533-position model. The record is from RNAcentral.